RNAcentral lists this ribosomal RNA (458 nucleotides) under uncultured bacterium. RNAcentral describes it as "bacterial SSU rRNA". It matches the Rfam family "Bacterial small subunit ribosomal RNA", at positions 340 to 789 of the family's 1533-position model. The record is from RNAcentral.
UACGGAAGGCAGCAGUGGGGAAUAUUGCACAAUGGGCGAAAGCCUGAUGCAGCUAUGCCGCGUGUAUGAAGAAGGCCUUAGGGUUGUAAAGUACUUUCAUCGGGGAGGAAAAAACAAAACUAAUAAUUUUAUUUCUUGACGUUACCCGAAAAAGAAGCACCGGCUAACUCCGUGCCAGCAGCCGCGGUAAUACGGAGGGUGCUAGCGUUAAUCAGAAUUACUGGGCGUAAAGAGCACGUAGGUGGUUUUUUUAAGUCAGAUGUGAAAUCCCUGGGCUUAACCUAGGAACUGCAUUUUGAAACUGAAAUACUAGAGUAUCGUAGAGGGAGGUAGAAUUCUAGGUGUAGCGGUGAAAUGCGUAGAUAUCUGGAGGAAUACCUGUGGCGAAAGCGGCCUCCUAAACGAAUACUGACACUGAGGUGCGAAAGCGUGGGGAGCAAACAGGGAUUAAUACCCGU